Molecule: long non-coding RNA, 550 nt
Filed under: Zostera marina
Lineage: Eukaryota; Viridiplantae; Streptophyta; Magnoliopsida; Alismatales; Zosteraceae
Description: long non-coding RNA (ZMAR_LNC000483)
Source: RNAcentral
GGUUCCGAUGUUCUUGUGGGGUUCGGUGAUUCAUAGUUAUUUGUUUCUCGUUCUGUUCUAGACUUUACUUCUCUGUGUUUUUUUGCGUUUUCUUCUUCCUUCUCGGUUUUUCAGACCACAAGUCAAAUAUUCGUUGUUAUCAGUUUGGCCAUAUGUAUAUUUAAAUUUACCGGACAUUCGCCCCCAAAAGUUCUCACUUGAAGCUACUGACUUCCGGUGUUGAGCAAAGAAUCUCGAAAGAAGGAAAGCUCUCCAGGUUUGGUCGUUGCUUUAACUGAUUUUCUAAUCUGCUAUUCUAUGACUGUCUUUCCUAUUGUCAUCAUGGAGUUUAUUCUUUUAUGUCAUCAUGAAGUUUACUUUUUAUUCUUUUUCCGUUUGUGUAAAUUUAUAGGAGUUUAAACUGGAGAAUGGUAAAAUCAAUAUAAAGAAAAGAAAAGAAAAGAAGAAGAAAACCCAGUUGCAAUGGAAAAUCCAGUUUCAAAUAAAAAGAAGAAAAAAAACAAGGACAAGGAUAAACUCAACACCGAAGAAAAAAAACUAGAGAAGAAGG